GGCCCCGCACAAGCGGUGGAGUAUGUGGUUUAAUUCGAUGCAACGCGAAGAACCUUACCAGGGUCUUGACAUCCUGCGAACCUCUGGGAAACCGGAGGGUGCCUUCGGGAACGCAGUGACAGGUGGUGCAUGGCUGUCGUCAGCUCGUGUCGUGAGAUGUUGGUUAAGUCCCGCAACGAGCGCAACCCACGUCUUUAGUUGCCAGCAUUUAGUUGGGCACUCUAGAGAGACCGCCGGUGACAAACCGGAGGAAGGUGUGGAUGACGUCAAGUCAUCAUGCCCCUUACGUCCUGGGCCUACACACGUACUACAAUGCUACGGACAAAGGGCAGCAAGUUCGCGAGGACAAGCA
RNAcentral lists this ribosomal RNA (352 nucleotides) under uncultured bacterium. RNAcentral describes it as "bacterial SSU rRNA". It matches the Rfam family "Bacterial small subunit ribosomal RNA", at positions 917 to 1269 of the family's 1533-position model. The record is from RNAcentral.